GAUGAACGCUGGCGGCAUGCCUAAUACAUGCAAGUCGAGCGAACGGACGAGAAGCUUGCUUCUCUGAUGUUAGCGGCGGACGGGUGAGUAACACGUGGAUAACCUACCUAUAAGACUGGGAUAACUUCGGGAAACCGGAGCUAAUACCGGAUAAUAUUUUGAACCGCAUGGUUCAAAAGUGAAAGACGGUCUUGCUGUCACUUAUAGAUGGAUCCGCGCUGCAUUAGCUAGUUGGUAAGGUAACGGCUUACCAAGGCAACGAUGCAUAGCCGACCUGAGAGGGUGAUCGGCCACACUGGAACUGAGACACGGUCCAGACUCCUACGGGAGGCAGCAGUAGGGAAUCUUCCGCAAUGGGCGAAAGCCUGACGGAGCAACGCCGCGUGAGUGAUGAAGGUCUUCGGAUCGUAAAACUCUGUUAUUAGGGAAGAACAUAUGAGUAAGUAACUGUGCACAUCUUGACGGUACCUAAUCAGAAAGCCACGGCUAACUACGUG
This 497-nucleotide ribosomal RNA is filed under the name uncultured bacterium. RNAcentral's name for it is "partial 16S ribosomal RNA". It matches the Rfam family "Bacterial small subunit ribosomal RNA", at positions 28 to 507 of the family's 1533-position model. The record is from RNAcentral.